This 501-nucleotide ribosomal RNA is filed under the name uncultured bacterium. RNAcentral's name for it is "partial 16S ribosomal RNA". It matches the Rfam family "Bacterial small subunit ribosomal RNA", at positions 899 to 1397 of the family's 1533-position model. The record is from RNAcentral.
ACUCAAAGGAAUUGACGGGGGCCCGCACAAGCGGUGGAGCAUGUGGUUUAAUUCGACGCAACGCGAAGAACCUUACCAGCCCUUGACAUGGGGGUUAUGGGAUCCGGAGACGGAUUCCUUCGGUUCGGCCGGGCCCCACACAGGUGCUGCAUGGCUGUCGUCAGCUCGUGUCGUGAGAUGUUGGGUUAAGUCCCGCAACGAGCGCAACCCUCAUCUUCAGUUGCCAUCGGUACGGCCGGGCACUCUGAAGAAACCGCCGGUGACAAGCCGGAGGAAGGUGGGGAUGACGUCAAGUCCUCAUGGCCCUUACGGGCUGGGCUACACACGUGCUACAAUGGUGGUGACAGUGGGACGCAAAGGGGCAACCCCGAGCUAAUCUCCAAAAGCCACCUCAGUUCGGAUUGCGCUCUGCAACUCGAGCGCAUGAAGUCGGAAUCGCUAGUAAUCGCGGAUCAGCACGCCGCGGUGAAUACGUUCCCGGGCCUUGUACACACCGCCCGU